UUGAAGAGUUUGAUCAUGGCUCAGAUUGAACGCUGGCGGCAGGCCUAACACAUGCAAGUCGAGCGGUAGCACAGAGAGCUUGCUCUCGGGUGACGAGCGGCGGACGGGUGAGUAAUGUCUGGGAAACUGCCUGAUGGAGGGGGAUAACUACUGGAAACGGUAGCUAAUACCGCAUAAUGUCGCAAGACCAAAGUGGGGGACCUUCGGGCCUCAUGCCAUCAGAUGUGCCCAGAUGGGAUUAGCUAGUAGGUGGGGUAACGGCUCACCUAGGCGACGAUCCCUAGCUGGUCUGAGAGGAUGACCAGCCACACUGGAACUGAGACACGGUCCAGACUCCUACGGGAGGCAGCAGUGGGGAAUAUUGCACAAUGGGCGCAAGCCUGAUGCAGCCAUGCCGCGUGUGUGAAGAAGGCCUUCGGGUUGUAAAGCACUUUCAGCGGGGAGGAAGGCGAUAAGGUUAAUAACCUCAUCGAUUGACGUUACCCGCAGAAGAAGCACCGGCUAACUCCGUGCCAGCAGCCGCGGUAAUACGGAGGGUGCAAGCGUUAAUCGGAAUUACUGGGCGUAAAGCGCACGCAGGCGGUCUGUCAAGUCGGAUGUGAAAUCCCCGGGCUCAACCUGGGAACUGCAUUCGAAACUGGCAGGCUAGAGUCUUGUAGAGGGGGGUAGAAUUCCAGGUGUAGCGGUGAAAUGCGUAGAGAUCUGGAGGAAUACCGGUGGCGAAGGCGGCCCCCUGGACAAAGACUGACGCUCAGGUGCGAAAGCGUGGGGAGCAAACAGGAUUAGAUACCCUGGUAGUCCACGCCGUAAACGAUGUCGAUUUGGAGGUUGUGCCCUUGAGGCGUGGCUUCCGGAGCUAACGCGUUAAAUCGACCGCCUGGGGAGUACGGCCGCAAGGUUAAAACUCAAAUGAAUUGACGGGGGCCCGCACAAGCGGUGGAGCAUGUGGUUUAAUUCGAUGCAACGCGAAGAACCUUACCUUGGUCUUGACAUCCACAGAACUUUCCAGAGAUGGAUUGGUGCCUUCGGGAACUGUGAGACAGGUGCUGCAUGGCUGUCGUCAGCUCGUGUUGUGAAAUGUUGGGUUAAGUCCCGCAACGAGCGCAACCCUUAUCCUUUGUUGCCAGCGGUCCGGCCGGGAACUCAAAGGAGACUGCCAGUGAUAAACUGGAGGAAGGUGGGGAUGACGUCAAGUCAUCAUGGCCCUUACGACCAGGGCUACACACGUGCUACAAUGGCAUAUACAAAGAGAAGCGACCUCGCGAGAGCAAGCGGACCUCAUAAAGUAUGUCGUAGUCCGGAUUGGAGUCUGCAACUCGACUCCAUGAAGUCGGAAUCGCUAGUAAUCGUAGAUCAGAAUGCUACGGUGAAUACGUUCCCGGGCCUUGUACACACCGCCCGUCACACCAUGGGAGUGGGUUGCAAAAGAAGUAGGUAGCUUAACCUUCGGGAGGGCGCUUACCACUUUGUGAUUCAUGACUGGGGUGAAGUCGUAACAAGGUAACCGUAGGGGAACCUGCGGUUGGAUCACCUCCUU
This 1537-nucleotide ribosomal RNA is filed under the name Klebsiella pneumoniae. RNAcentral describes it as "bacterial SSU rRNA". It matches the Rfam family "Bacterial small subunit ribosomal RNA". Lineage: Bacteria; Pseudomonadati; Pseudomonadota; Gammaproteobacteria; Enterobacterales; Enterobacteriaceae. The record is from RNAcentral.